Long non-coding RNA from Centruroides sculpturatus (bark scorpion), 216 nucleotides. RefSeq lists it as uncharacterized. Lineage: Eukaryota; Metazoa; Arthropoda; Arachnida; Scorpiones; Buthidae. The transcript has 3 exons. The record is from RefSeq and is a predicted model, not a curated record.
AGAAGAGGCGUGUCUGUGGAUCCAAUAAUAUUAAAUGCCACCUGUCGAACCGAUUUGUCUCGCAUAUCGUUAAAGGCGAUACUCGGAUCAGGUUUAAAACAAUUUUGAUUAAAGACAAUUAUUCAUAGCGAGCAAAGCGGAAGAAAGAGGAAAAUGAAGGUUAUAUUCACUCUUCUUCUUGUGGGAAUCUUUAUUCAAGCGAUGAUCGAUGUGGGA